CAAUUCCGGUUGAUCCCGCCGGAGGCCACUGCUAUUGGGGUCCGACUAAGCCAUGCGAGUCUAUGGACUUCGGUCCAUGGCGGACGGCUCAGUAACACGUGGUUAACCUACCCUCAGGUAGGGGAUAACCUCGGGAAACUGAGGAUAAUACCCUAUAGGGGAAGAGGCCUGGAAUGGUCCUUCUCUGAAAGGACAUCCGCCUGAGGAUGGGACUGCGUCCGAUUAGGUAGUUGGUGGGGUAAUGGCCCACCAAGCCUACGAUCGGUACGGGCCUUGAGAGAGGGAGCCCGGAGAUGGGGACUGAGACA
This 308-nucleotide ribosomal RNA is filed under the name Methanothermococcus okinawensis. RNAcentral describes it as "bacterial SSU rRNA". It matches the Rfam family "Archaeal small subunit ribosomal RNA", at positions 1 to 310 of the family's 1478-position model. The record is from RNAcentral. Lineage: Archaea; Methanobacteriati; Methanobacteriota; Methanococci; Methanococcales; Methanococcaceae.